This is a long non-coding RNA of Sapajus apella (tufted capuchin), 139 nucleotides long. RefSeq lists it as uncharacterized. The record is from RefSeq and is a predicted model, not a curated record. The transcript has 3 exons. NCBI's taxonomy places the organism in Eukaryota, Metazoa, Chordata, Mammalia, Primates, Cebidae.
AGCAGUCCUAGCCUGCAUGCUGUAACCCUGGGCAACUGCAACUGGGCCCCUGGCUUUGUUCUCUGACCCCUCAAGAUUAGGAACCUGCUGUGCUGGAAGGACCUAGGUGUUUCUGGUCUCAUGGUGCCAGUGCUUCCAC